RNAcentral lists this ribosomal RNA (690 nucleotides) under Triticum aestivum (bread wheat). Its description in RNAcentral is "partial small subunit ribosomal RNA". The record is from RNAcentral. Lineage: Eukaryota; Viridiplantae; Streptophyta; Magnoliopsida; Poales; Poaceae.
AUGGUCGUCGAGCUCCAGCCCAUCCUCGGCGUUCAGGAGGGCACCCUCCUACGCUUCUCGUCCGACGUCGGGGAGUGGGUCAGCAAGGGCAUCCACAUCCCGCUUCCAUUCCGGCAGUUGGCCCCCAACGGCGCGGUCUCGUACUACGGGAGGCUCUGGUGGGUCGACCUCUCCUGGUGCCUCCUCACCUGCGACCCCUUCGAGGACGCGCCGGUGCUGAGGGUCGUCCCUCUACCGCCGGGCAAGGUGCUCGAAAGCAGGGAGGGCUGGGGAUUUCUCGACAAGUACCGCUGCGUCCGUGUCAGCGGCGGCAAGCUGCGGUUCGUCGACAUGUACCGGAACCGUAACAGCCGCGGCGCUGCGCAGAUCAGCGUCUGGACGCUCGCCGAUCCGGACUCCACAGAGUGGACGCUGGAGUACGAGGCCACCUUUGCGGAGAUCUGCAACGACGCGAGCUACAAGGCGACUGGUCUGCCAAGGAAGAUCCCGGUGCUUGGGCUCAUCCAUCCCACCAACCCUGACGUGGUCUACUUCUUCCUCGACAAGCAUCUGCUCGGUAUCGACAUGGGUGCUCGCAAGGUUGUGGAGUGUGAGAUCUACGAGCUGGUUGCCCCGCCUAGCAAGCACGUGUGUACCCGUUUCCUUCACGCUUGGCAGCUGCCACGGGCUCUCAGCUGCUCAGGUUGUUGA